GUUAAACUGGAGGAGGGAGGGGGCUACGGCAGGUCAGCAUGCCCCGAAUCUCCCGGGCCGCACGCGGGCUGCAAUGGCGAGGACAGCGGGUUCCGACCUCGAAAGGGGUAGGUAAUCCCUUAAACCUCGCCGUAGUUGGGAUUGAGGGCUGUAACCCGCCCUCAUGAACAUGGAAUCCCUAGUAACCGCAUGUCACCAUCGUGCGGUGAAUACGUCCCUGCUCCUU
RNAcentral lists this ribosomal RNA (226 nucleotides) under uncultured Thermoprotei archaeon. Its description in RNAcentral is "partial 16S ribosomal RNA". It matches the Rfam family "Archaeal small subunit ribosomal RNA", at positions 1113 to 1338 of the family's 1478-position model. The record is from RNAcentral. Lineage: Archaea; Thermoproteati; Thermoproteota; Thermoprotei.